AGGCUAUAAAGCAAACCCGUGGACUACCAGGCACCUUAGUCAAGUAUUACCAAGGCAGUGGAAAACCUCCAUGCUUCUCUCACUGUGUCAUCACCCUGUCCUCCAGAUUUAGUUACUGUCUUGCAUUUUCCCCCAAGGUUAUUAAGGGUGGAAAAUAACCCCAAUCCUUGUUUUGCCAAGAGUACUCUUUAUAUAUUUCCCCAUUGCCUACUGACUGUUGUUUUGAAGUGACUAGAACUAGAUAGAGCUUUAGUCACUUUUUCGUUACUGGUUGAGAUUAACCCGGCACCAGUAUGGAGAUAGGCUCCAAGGUGAUUUGAUAGAAAGCCUGCCUAUCAGUGGAUGUGACUGUUCUGGAUACAACGGUUCCAGUCCGUGACACUGUUCCGAGCUUCCAGGAGGGCUGUCCUUCCUCACUUUACUUUAACCUUGUCUGAAGAACUCCCAGGAAGUUACCAACAGCCCUUCACCAAGUUCAAGAGGCAGACUUAUGAUUACCCUUCUCGAGCUGAAAAACUGAAUAAUGGAAACCUGGCAGUGAAGGGUCAUUCAAGAUUGGUUUCAAGACCUCUGAGGAUGCCAAAAUUCUGCAAUGACCAAGUUCCUGACAAAAAACGAACCCACAAAUACAGAGGGCUGAUUGUACAUAUAAGUUGGGUGCCAUAAUUAUGCCACUUUACAGACGAGAAAACUAAAAGCAGAAAGGGAGCAGUAAACCCAGGAGAUGAAUUCUGGAGAAGCUCUCUGGUUUCAACCUUUAGCCAACAUCACAAUCACCUGAAGGGCUUGUAAUACACUGAUUGCUGGGCCCAGUCCUAGAGUUUCUGAAUCCUAAGGCUGAGCAACACCUAAUUUCCACUUCUGCAAGUUCCCAGUGAAUGCUGUUGCUGCUCGUCUGGAAGCCAGACGUUGAGAACCCCUUCUAGAGUGAGGUCUCCCGCAACAAAUUCUACCGGCCCCCAAAGCACGUGUUUUGUGUGUCUUAAAAAUUUGUUGAGUACCAUUAGCAAAAAACAAACAAAAAAACUUAAUUCCUAGAAUUUCAGAGAAAUCCCAUGGAGUUUUUUGCUAGUCACGUCAAAAGAGGCCACAAAGUGCCGCUUAACCAGAGCUUCGGAAGACAGCGGCUGGGCCGGCCACGUGCACCGAGACUUGGGGCCAGGUGCAGCCGCCCCAGGG
Long non-coding RNA from Macaca mulatta (Rhesus monkey), 1179 nucleotides. RefSeq lists it as uncharacterized. The record is from RefSeq and is a predicted model, not a curated record. Lineage: Eukaryota; Metazoa; Chordata; Mammalia; Primates; Cercopithecidae.